Molecule: small RNA, 98 nt
Filed under: Bizionia paragorgiae
Lineage: Bacteria; Pseudomonadati; Bacteroidota; Flavobacteriia; Flavobacteriales; Flavobacteriaceae
Description: Flavo-1 RNA
Rfam family: Flavo-1 RNA
Source: Rfam by way of RNAcentral
CAAAAUCCGCGUUAAGGAUUGAAGCGGCAUCCUUUUUUAGGAUCUACCAGCGCAAGCUUGGAGACCAAAAAAAGAUAGAGCUGAAAGCCUGACCCGAC